GGAGUUAGCCGGGUGGCCGCCCGGAAAUGGCUUUUGACUGCCGCGGGAUUUUAACUGCUGGCGGCAUUCUAUUGCUGCCGGCUCUUAAAAGUUCCUGAUGGCUUUUAAAGGUGGUUCCGGGAGGAAAGUCCGAGCUCCGCAGGGCAGGGUGCCGGGUAAUACCCGGCGGGGCUGAAAGAAAUUUCAGCUUCAGCGAAAGUGCAACAGAAAAUAUACCGCCGUACUUUAAUAUAAUCAUUAUUUUACAGUCCGGCAAGGGUGAAAUGGCGGGUUAAGAGCCCACCGGCAGUCUGGCAACAGGCUGGCCUGGAAAACCGCACCCGGAGCAAGGCCAAAUAGGGAAGAUACAAGGCGGCCCGUCUUUCUUCCGGGUCAGGCCGCUUGAGGCAAGUGGCAACAUUUGCCCUAAGAGGGAUGGCCACCGCUGGUGAAGGGUUUUAACCGGUAAACGGUACGCAUCCUUCACCGGUACAGAACUCGGCUUACAGGCUGACUCCACCU
This 501-nucleotide RNase P RNA is filed under the name Actinomycetota bacterium. RNAcentral's name for it is "Actinobacteria bacterium (freshwater metagenome) RNase P RNA component class A". It matches the Rfam family "Bacterial RNase P class A". From Rfam's summary of the family: Ribonuclease P (RNase P) is a ubiquitous endoribonuclease, found in archaea, bacteria and eukarya as well as chloroplasts and mitochondria. The record is from RNAcentral. Lineage: Bacteria; Bacillati; Actinomycetota.